Molecule: long non-coding RNA, 233 nt
Filed under: Mytilus galloprovincialis (Mediterranean mussel)
Lineage: Eukaryota; Metazoa; Mollusca; Bivalvia; Mytilida; Mytilidae
Source: RNAcentral
GUCCAUCUGAUGAGUUAAGCCUUUUUCAACUGAUUUUUAUAGUUCGUUCUUAUAUUGUACUGUUAUACCACUGUCCCCGGUUAGGGUGAGGGUUGGGAUCCCGCUAACAUGUUCAACCCCGCCACAUUAUUUAUGUAUGUGCCUGUCCCAAGUCAGGAGCCUGUAAUUCAGUGGUUGUCGUUUGUUUAUGUGUUACAUAUUUGUUUUUCGGUCAUUUUUUAUACAAAUAAGGC